CAACCCUCGCGCCCCCCAGGGGGCUCGGUGUUGGGGGCCGGCCCUGGCCGCCCCCGAAAUGCAGUGGCGACCUCGCCGCGGCCUCCCCUGCGUAGUAGAGCACCCCUCGCACCGGAGCGCGGAGACGGUCACGCCGUAAAACGCCCCAACUCCAGU
This 156-nucleotide unclassified non-coding RNA is filed under the name uncultured Hypocreales. RNAcentral's name for it is "sequence contains ITS2". Lineage: Eukaryota; Fungi; Ascomycota; Sordariomycetes; Hypocreales. The record is from RNAcentral.